GCCUGGCUAGCUCAGUCGGUAGAGCAUGAGACUCUUAAUGUCAGGGUCGUGGGUUUGAGCCCCACGUUGGGCG
Molecule: transfer RNA, 73 nt
Filed under: Danio rerio (zebrafish)
Lineage: Eukaryota; Metazoa; Chordata; Actinopteri; Cypriniformes; Danionidae
Description: tRNA-Lys (CTT) (tRNA-Lys-CTT-136-1)
Rfam family: tRNA
About the family: Transfer RNA (tRNA) molecules are approximately 80 nucleotides in length. Their secondary structure includes four short double-helical elements and three loops (D, anti-codon, and T loops).
Source: Rfam by way of RNAcentral